Molecule: ribosomal RNA, 483 nt
Filed under: uncultured bacterium
Lineage: Bacteria
Description: bacterial SSU rRNA
Rfam family: Bacterial small subunit ribosomal RNA
Source: RNAcentral
AGGACGAACGCUGGCGGCGUGCUUAAUACAUGCAAGUCAACUUGACUUUAGAUAGCAAUAUCGAAAAGUAGGGUGGCGCACGGGUGCGUAACGCGUAGGUAAUCUGCCCUGAGGUCUGACAUAACCCGUCGAAAGGCGGGCUAACAUCAGAUGAUAUAUAGUCACGACAUCGUGGAAAUAUCAAAUCUUCGGAGCCUUGGGAUGAGCCUGCGUCUGAUUAGGUAGUUGGCGGAGUAAUAGCCCACCAAGCCUACGAUCAGUAGCUGGUCUGAGAGGAUGAUCAGCCACACUGGAACUGAGACACGGUCCAGACUCCUGCGGGAGGCAGCAGUAAGGAAUAUUGCUCAAUGGGGGGAAACCCUGAAGCAGCAACGCCGCGUGAAGGAUGAAAUACUUUUGUAUGUAAACUUCUGUAAGAUGGGAAAAAUAUUCUCCUCGGGAGAAUUGAUUGUACCAUCAGAGUAAGCCCCGGCUAACUACGUG